RNAcentral lists this unclassified non-coding RNA (279 nucleotides) under fungal sp. RNAcentral describes it as "partial internal transcribed spacer region". Lineage: Eukaryota; Fungi. The record is from RNAcentral.
AAGUCGUAACAAGGUUUGAACCGGAAGGAUCAUUAACACGUAUCCAAACGUUAAAACCCCCCCCGUGAACUUUUAUCCUGCUCUUGUAACCGCGUCGGAAAGUGUCAUUGAUUGUGCAAGGAUAGCGCUUCUACGAUUCCUGUAGACCGUACACUCGGGCAGGAGCUUUGCCAAAGAGUCCCCAUGCCCCUUAAUAACCCCACAGUUUAAUGUGAAGCUCAAUGUAAUACAUUGGGUAAAAAAACCGAACAACUGUUAACAAUGGAUAUCUUGGUUCUC